UGGACCUCAGAUCAGGCAAGAUUACCCGCUGAGUUUAAGCAUAUCACUAAGCGGAGGAAAAGAAACUAACAAGGAUUUCCUUAGUAACGGCGAGCGAACCGGAAGAGCCCAGCUUGAA
This 118-nucleotide ribosomal RNA is filed under the name Porella cordaeana. RNAcentral's name for it is "partial 26S ribosomal RNA". It matches the Rfam family "Eukaryotic large subunit ribosomal RNA", at positions 1 to 118 of the family's 3401-position model. The record is from RNAcentral. Lineage: Eukaryota; Viridiplantae; Streptophyta; Jungermanniopsida; Porellales; Porellaceae.